UAGGGAAUCUUCCACAAUGGACGCAAGUCUGAUGGAGCAACGCCGCGUGAGUGAAGAAGGUCUUCGGAUCGUAAAGCUCUGUUGUUGGUGAAGAAGGAUAGAGGCAGUAACUGGUCUUUAUUUGACGGUAAUCAACCAGAAAGUCACGGCUAACUAUGUGCCAGCAGCCGCGGUAAUACGUAGGUGGCAAGCGUUGUCCGGAUUUAUUGGGCGUAAAGCGAGCGCAGGCGGAAUGAUAAGUCUGAUGUGAAAGCCCACGGCUCAACCGUGGAACUGCAUCGGAAACUGUCAUUCUUGAGUGCAGAAGAGGAGAGUGGAACUCCAUGUGUAGCGGUGGAAUGCGUAGAUAUAUGGAAGAACACCAGUGGCGAAGGCGGCUCUCUGGUCUGCAACUGACGCUGAGGCUCGAAAGCAUGGGUAGCGAACAGGAUUAGAUACCCUGGUAGUCCAUGCCGUAAACGAUGAGCGCUAGGUGUUGGGGACUUUCCGGUCCUCAGUGCCGCAGCAAACGCAUUAAGCGCUCCGCCUGGGGAGUACGACCGCAAGGUUGAAAC
This 554-nucleotide ribosomal RNA is filed under the name uncultured bacterium. Its description in RNAcentral is "partial 16S ribosomal RNA". It matches the Rfam family "Bacterial small subunit ribosomal RNA", at positions 355 to 900 of the family's 1533-position model. The record is from RNAcentral.